This 344-nucleotide long non-coding RNA is filed under the name Anas platyrhynchos platyrhynchos (common mallard). RNAcentral's name for it is "lncRNA (ENSAPLG00000017429.1)". The record is from RNAcentral. Lineage: Eukaryota; Metazoa; Chordata; Aves; Anseriformes; Anatidae.
AUGGAUGCUCAUCUGUAUUUUUUGGGAACAACACAGUUCUUAACAUCUGAACUGUCAUUUGAUAUCUAUUCAACAUACAGAACAAUGGAUCAUAACUUAUGUGACGUCCCGAAUGCCACUAAAUCCAAAGCCUUGAAGCAGAAGAGAAAUGAUCCUCUGCAGGAUGAUUGCACAUAUGGUUGUUUUCCAUGGAAGGGCAUUCUCUCCUGUCCUGAUCCAGGUUUUCAAAAUCAGUGCAUAUCAGCAGCUACAUUGGCAGUGUGACCAGGAAUGGUGCAGGGUUAUCAUGUGCUCUUGAAAGAUAUUUUGAUAGUAAAAUAAAGGUUUGUGAGAGAGUGAGUCCA